AUUGAACGCUGGCGGCAUGCCUUACACAUGCAAGUCGAACGGCAGCACGGGAGCAAUCCUGGUGGCGAGUGGCGAACGGGUGAGUAAUAUAUCGGAACGUGCCCAGUCGUGGGGAUAACGUAGCGAAAGUUACGCUAAUACCGCAUACGAUCUAAGGAUGAAAGCGGGGGAUCGCAAGACCUCGCGCGAUUGGAGCGGCCGAUAUCAGAUUAGGUAGUUGGUGGGGUAAAGGCUCACCAAGCCAACGAUCUGUAGCUGGUCUGAGAGGACGACCAGCCACACUGGAACUGAGACACGGUCCAGACUCCUACGGGAGGCAGCAGUGAGGAAUAUUGGUCAAUGGGCGCAAGUCUGAUCCAGCAAUGCCGCGUGCA
Molecule: ribosomal RNA, 374 nt
Filed under: uncultured bacterium
Lineage: Bacteria
Description: bacterial SSU rRNA
Rfam family: Bacterial small subunit ribosomal RNA
Source: RNAcentral